RNAcentral lists this unclassified non-coding RNA (200 nucleotides) under uncultured fungus. Its description in RNAcentral is "sequence contains ITS1, 5.8S rRNA gene". Lineage: Eukaryota; Fungi. The record is from RNAcentral.
GUCUUGGUUUCAAAAACAUUAAAUGUUCUUAAGAAAACAAUACUACAACAGAGACAUAAAAUCAUACAGAGGCCAAACCGAAAUGAGGCCUCCAGUUCACAGAAUCAGAAAAAAGAGGUCGGGUAGUAUACCUUCCUGAGCCCUACCCCCUUUUCCUUAUUUUAUAGUUAAUGAUCCUUCCGCAGGUUCACCUACGGAAA